GUUAAGGUGGCAGAGCCCGGCAUUGCAAAAGUCCUAAACCCUUCCCACAAAGGUUCAAGUCCUUUCCUUAACU
RNAcentral lists this transfer RNA (73 nucleotides) under Chaetodon auriga (threadfin butterflyfish). Its description in RNAcentral is "tRNA-Leu". It matches the Rfam family "tRNA". Rfam says of the family: Transfer RNA (tRNA) molecules are approximately 80 nucleotides in length. Their secondary structure includes four short double-helical elements and three loops (D, anti-codon, and T loops). RNAcentral also lists the same sequence under 8 other names. The record is from RNAcentral. Lineage: Eukaryota; Metazoa; Chordata; Actinopteri; Chaetodontiformes; Chaetodontidae.